GUAGGGAAUAUUGGGCAAUGGAUGCAAGUCUGACCCAGCCAUGCCGCGUGGAGGAAGAAGGUCCUCUGGAUUGUAAACUCCUUUUUUGGGGGAAGAAUAGUUUUCUUGCGAGAGAAUGUGACGGUACCCUAAGAAUAAGCCACGGCUAACUACGUGCCAGCAGCCGCGGUAAUACGUAGGUGGCAAGCGUUGUCCGGAUUUAGUGGGUUUAAAGGGUGCGUAGGUGGUUUGAUAAGUCAGUGGUGAAAGCUGGUUGCUCAACAAUCAAGUUGCCAUUGAUACUGUCGGACUUGAGAGAAGUGGAGGUUCAUGGAAUGGAUGGUGUAGCGGUGAAAUGCAUAGAUAUCAUCCAGAACGUCGAUUGCGAAGGCAGUGGGCUGUACUUUGUCUGACACUGAGGCACGAAAGUGUGGGGAUCAAACAGGAUUAGAUACCCCUGUAGUCC
RNAcentral lists this ribosomal RNA (445 nucleotides) under uncultured bacterium. RNAcentral's name for it is "partial 16S ribosomal RNA". It matches the Rfam family "Bacterial small subunit ribosomal RNA", at positions 354 to 796 of the family's 1533-position model. The record is from RNAcentral.